This 292-nucleotide ribosomal RNA is filed under the name uncultured bacterium. Its description in RNAcentral is "partial 16S ribosomal RNA". It matches the Rfam family "Bacterial small subunit ribosomal RNA", at positions 505 to 796 of the family's 1533-position model. The record is from RNAcentral.
GUGUCAGCCGCCGCGGUAAUACGUAGGGGGCUAGCGUUGUCCGGAAUCAUUGGGCGUAAAGAGCGUGUAGGCGGCCCGGUAAGUCCGUUGUAAAAGUCGAAGGCUCAACCUUUGAAUGCCGAUGGAUACUGCCGGGCUAGAGUCCGGAAGAGGCGAGUGGAAUUCCUGGUGUAGCGGUGGAAUGCGCAGAUAUCAGGAGGAACACCGAUAGCGAAGGCAGCUCGCUGGGACGGUACUGACGCUAAGACGCGAAAGCGUGGGGAGCGAACAGGAUUAGAAACCCCUGUAGUCC